AGCAGCCGCGGUAAUUCCAGCUCCAAUAGCGUAUAUUAAAGUUGCUGCAGUUAAAAAGCUCGUAGUUGAAUUUCGGGACUAAUAUGUCGGUCGUGCCUCGGUACGUACUGGUUUAUUGGUUUCUCCUUUCUGAAGAACCAUGAUGUCAUUUAUUUGGUGUCGUGGGGAAUCAGGACUGUUACUUUGAAAAAUUAGAGUGUUUAAAGCAGGCUCACGCUUGAAUACAUUAGCAUGGAAUAAUGAAAUAGGACGUUUGAUUCUAUUUUGUUGGUUUCUAGGAUCGACGUAAUGAUUAAUAGGGAUAGUUGGGGGCAUUAGUAUUCAAUUGUCAGAGGUGAAAUUCUUGGAUUUAUUGAAGACUAACUACUGCGAAAGCAUUUGCCAAGGAUGUUUUCAUUAAUCAAGAACGAAAGUUAGGGGAUCGAAGACGAUCAGAUACCGUCGUAGUCUUAACCAUAAACUAUGCCGACUAGGGAUCGGAUGAUGUUAAUUUUUAAUGUACUCA
Molecule: ribosomal RNA, 505 nt
Filed under: uncultured Glomeraceae
Lineage: Eukaryota; Fungi; Glomeromycota; Glomeromycetes; Glomerales; Glomeraceae
Description: SSU rRNA
Rfam family: Eukaryotic small subunit ribosomal RNA
Source: RNAcentral